This 497-nucleotide ribosomal RNA is filed under the name uncultured bacterium. RNAcentral describes it as "partial 16S ribosomal RNA". It matches the Rfam family "Bacterial small subunit ribosomal RNA", at positions 28 to 507 of the family's 1533-position model. The record is from RNAcentral.
GACGAACGCUGGCGGCGUGCCUAAUACAUGCAAGUAGAACGCUGAAGCUUGGUGCUUGCACCGAGCGGAUGAGUUGCGAACGGGUGAGUAACGCGUAGGUAACCUGCCUGGUAGCGGGGGAUAACUAUUGGAAACGAUAGCUAAUACCGCAUAAGAGUAGAUGUUGCAUGACAUUUGCUUAAAAGGUGCAAUUGCAUCACUACCAGAUGGACCUGCGUUGUAUUAGCUAGUUGGUGAGGUAACGGCUCACCAAGGCAACGAUACAUAGCCGACCUGAGAGGGGGAUAGGCCACACUGGGACGGAGACACGGCCCAGACUCCUACGGGAGGCAGCAGUAGGGAAUCUUCGGCAAUGGACGGAAGGCUGAACGAGGAACGCCGCGUGAGUGAAGAAGGGUGUCGGAUCGUAAAGCUCUGUUGUAAGAGAAGAACGAGUGUGAGAGUGGAAAGUUCACACUGUGACGGUAUCUUAAGAGAAAGGGACGGCUAACUACGUG